UACGCUGGCGGCACGCCUAACACAUGCAAGUCGAACGAAGUAGCAAUACUUAGUGGCGAACGGGUGAGUAUAAUGUGGGUAUCUGCCUUUUGGUUUGGAAUAACACGAGGAAACUUGUGCUAAUACCGGAUAAGCCUUCACAGGGAAAGUUUUAACGCCAAAAGAUGAGCCCGCACUUGAUUAGCUAGUUGGUAAGGUAAAAGCUUACCAAGGCUACGAUCAAUAGCUGAUCUGAGAGGAUGAUCAGCCACAUUGGGACUGAGACACGGCCCAAACUCCUACGGGAGGCAGCAGUGGGGAAUCUUGCACAAUGGGGGAAACCCUGAUGCAGCGAUGCCGCGUGAGUGAAGAAGGCCUUUGGGUUGUAAAGCUCUUUCGUCGGGGAAGAAAAUGACUGUACCCGAAUAAGAAGGUCCGGCUAACUUCGUGCCAGCAGCCGCGGUAAUACGAAGGGACCUAGCGUAGUUCGGAAUUACUGGGCUUAAAGAGCUCGUAGGUGGUUAGAAAAGUUGGUGGUGAAAUCCCAAGGCUUAACCUUGGAACUGCCACCAAAACUUUUUAACUAGAGUAUGAUAGAGGAAAGUGGAAUUUCUAGUGUAGAGGUGAAAUUCGUAGAUAUUAGAAAGAACACCAAUUGCGAAGGCAACUUUCUGGAUCAUUACUGACACUGAGGAGCGAAAGCAUGGGUAGCGAAGAGGAUUAGAUACCCUCGUAGUCCAUGCCGUAAACGAUGUGUGCUAGACGUUGGAAAUUUAUUUUUUCA
Molecule: ribosomal RNA, 763 nt
Filed under: uncultured bacterium
Lineage: Bacteria
Description: bacterial SSU rRNA
Rfam family: Bacterial small subunit ribosomal RNA
Source: RNAcentral